Long non-coding RNA from Mirounga angustirostris (Northern elephant seal), 3336 nucleotides. RefSeq lists it as uncharacterized. Lineage: Eukaryota; Metazoa; Chordata; Mammalia; Carnivora; Phocidae. The record is from RefSeq and is a predicted model, not a curated record. The transcript is spliced from 4 exons.
GGAGGGUGGGCUCCGCGGAGAGGUGUUCCCCAUAUACAACAUGCUUCAUGAUGUUGCAUUGUCAAUGAAUCCUCAAUGCUGGGGUUGGAUGGGGGUUACUGGUAAGCUGUCCCUUUUCAGUUCCUCGAGGCCUAAACUAAGCUGCAGGCAUCAGAGUGACUCUACCUCCAACGUGUUGGAUUAACUGAACAAAAGAUGCCUCACCUGGAUAUUCUGGCAACUACAUUUGAAGCUUAGAUUCUUCGAGGGCUGGGAGCUUCGAGGUGCUCUCGUUCAACUCCACGACUUACCAGAUGUAGAAACGGAGGUCCACAGGGGGAAAGUAAUUUCCAGCAUAGGAGCAACUGGGACGAAACCAACUUGACCCCCGAUCUAGCUCUUUUUUCAGGAGUUGAAGAACAGAAUUGCUGCAGGGUCUCUGGCUCACCCGGUCCAGCCCCUGGCUGGGGGGCAGUACGUAGACAGCGGGAGAGGUGACCUGGACAUCCAGACACAGAGCUCACACUCCACCCAGCAGACUGCGGGCCACACUGGUCUUCGACUGCAUCUGCACUUCUCUGGUUCUCUGAUGAUACCUGCCUGAGAGAACCACGUUCACCUGAGACGGAGAGGAGCCUCGGAGACAGACGGGGUUUCCUGGUUCCAUGGCCAGUUGGCACUUUCUCAGAUCAGAGUCAGUUGUGUAAAAUAGAAGUGUGCUUUUUGUGCAGACCAAUUGAAGAUGGUUAUUUUCUAUUAACCUGGCAUUUUUUGCCGUUAGUUCUCUUGGGCCCCAUUUAUAGCUUCAUGGGGAGGGUUUCCAUCUAUUUAUAUCUCCAACCCCCAUUACAUGAAAUAACAUUUAAUCAACCUCUUUUAAGAAAAUCAAUUUUAAUGCAAAAAUGCAAGAUACAUGUUUUGUCUGGGCACGAUUCUUUCAACAGGUGUCUCCUCUUACAGCGGUGUAAACUUGAGAGAAAUAAAGAGUAAUUUUUUGGUGUUGUUUUGGUCAGUGCCAAAACACUGUUGCCAGGUCGGGCAAACAGUGGGCAGGCUUUGCUGGGAGGCCAGAGCUAGUUGGAUGUGUGGAUUUCAUGGGGUGAAGGCCCCAUGUUUUGAACGACGUCAGUGUGGAGGACAGUGCUCUAGGUUCUCGGCCCAGAGGGGCGGCUUGGGAAGCCACAGAAAGGGACAUACUGACACUUCCCCUUCAGGACCUUUUAGCUUAGCUAAGUGUGAAAAAAGACAUAAAGUGACAACAGCAUUCUAUAAUAAUAAUAAUAAUAAUAAUAAAAAUAAUAAUGAUAAUAAUAAUAAUAGCAGUAAUCGUAAUAAUAAUAAAAACAAAGUGUUGUCAGGUGAUCAGAGGGACCUUGACAUUCACCCACGUUCUCUCUGUUCUCUCUCGUGUUCCUUGUGUUUCUAAUAACAUUAGCAAUGUUUUCUACUGGAAAGAGCCCCGGGCUAGGAACUUGGAAAGAAAGCAGGCUGCAAUCUCUGACUUGCCCCUUAAAUGGCCUGCUUUGGGGUAAACCACUUAAACUCUGAAAACUUGUAUUCCUCACCCCACGCCUUCACAGUCUGAUCGCUGGAUUUCCUUCUACCACCAAGUGCUGGGCCCUCAGCACUUACUUUGUCUUUUGCUCUUUGCUUCAGGACCAAGAGGAUUUUCUGAAGAAGAUUUCAUUCUCCCCUUCUUGGAUGGUUUGGCCCAGCAUCCACCCAACCAGAGGAAGUGAAUGGCCUGGGACUAAUCGAGGAUUUUUUUUUUUUUUUCCCAGGACAGGAAGGGGUGGGUCAGUAGGAGACUGAGAGGUGAAGUAAGAAUUCCCACUGGCAAUAUCAACACAUUUACUCAAGGCUUUCUACAUCAUUUGGGAACCACAUGCAAAAUGAAGAUGCCAAACCCUUUGUUCAAAAAGGGAAAAAAAUGUCAUGAAAGGUACUAAAAUAUAAAGCAUGUUCUUUUCUUUUGCUAUCUCCUGAUUUGCCAUGGUGUUUUUAUCUGCUAUUUAAUCUCAUUUUAAAUAAAGAAAAAUUAAAUUUGAAUUAUUAGAAUGAAUUCUACUGUUCAUCUUUAUAUCACAAUGGCAAUUUUAAGUGCAAAUAUAAGAGCAUUGAUCUCCGGGCACCUGGGUGGCUCAGUUGGUUAAGCGACUGCCUUCGGCUCAGGUCAUGAUCCUGGAGUCCCGGGAUCGAGUCCCGCAUCGGGCUCCCUGCUCAGCAGAGAGUCUGCUUCUCCCUCUGACCCUCCUCCCUCUCAUGCUCUCUGUCUCUCAUUCUCUGUCUCAAAUAAAUAAAUAAAAUCUUAAAAAAAAAAAGAGCAUUGAUCUCCUGAGUGAAAUCCCCAAAAAUCACAUGAUGAAUAUUUCCUAGUUUUAACAUACAUAUGUAUUUUGUUCUUUGGAAGAAAAUGGGAUGGUUGUACAAAAGUAACUCCACUGUUUCUAUUCCACUUCUAGAUAUGCUCACAUUCUAACAACACUUGCUACCUUUGGGUUACUGAUGAGUGAGGAAGGACUGAGAAGAAAAGGCACUCUGGGUUGUCUGUCUCUCCCCUUCCCUUAUGUCAUCAUUUUCAGCAUAUGUGGUUGGUGAAUGGAGGGAAGAAAGAUUAUGCUUGGUCGUUAGCCUUUCCAAGGACAGACACACUGCCUUCUGUGUGCAGUCAAAACAAAUUCUGGGUCAAACAAAGUGUGGUCUCCUGGGGCUCUCCCCUUACCUACCCGAUUGUGGGCAUUACACACUUUCUGUGCACUUUGAACCUCCCUGAAUUCCCAUGCGUGAUGGCAUUGGUUCAAAGAUAAAAUUGUGAAGACUUUCAAGAUAGGGACAACAGAGCUUUAAAUCAAGUGCAGCAUCCUUCUGAGCACAGAGCCCUGUGUGACUGCACAGUGUGCAGGACUCCUGUUUUUCAAGGAUUUUCCUAAGACUCCCCUUCCCACUCUUUACUCCCAAGGUCUUGAAGCGCUGGCAACAGCUUUGUUGUGAUUAGGUGCAUAUUUCUCUGCAGAACUUGAAGUUCUUCCUGAUUCUGGUAAUGCUGGAGGCAUGUGUGGUUUAUUUCCACUCCUUGAUGAUCUUAGGCUAUUUGGAGGAGAUUAUGUGGAGAGUUUUAAACUCAAGUGUCUGCUGUUAUCCUGCCGAUUAGGAUGUGUGUGUGUGUGUGUGUGUGUGUGUGUCUGCGUUUGAUGCUAUUGUUAAAAAUAAUCUUUUCUUUUUCCAGAACAAAAGACUGUUUAAUCAAAAACAUUUUCUUUGGACUGGAUAACACAUUCACAAAGAUCAAACAUAAAGAGAUAAAGGUAUAUUAAAAAUUUCAUUUUCUAAUUAUUUACUGCGGUUAUGUAGAAAUAA